GGACUACAAGGGUAUCUAAUCCUGUUUGCUACCCACGCUUUCGUGUCUCAGCGUCAGUUAUGGUCCAGUAAGCCGUCUACACCACCGGUGUUCCUCCUGAUAUCUACGCAUUUCACCGCUACACCAGGAAUUCCACUUACCCAUCCCACACUCUAGCCUCCCAGUUUUCGGCGCACCCUCCCGGUUGAGCCGGGAGAUUUCACACCAAACUUAGGAAGCCGCCUACACACCCUUUACGCCCAGUAACUCCGAACAACGCUUGCUGCCUACGUAUUACCGCGGCGGCUGGCAC
Molecule: ribosomal RNA, 292 nt
Filed under: uncultured Acidobacteriota bacterium
Lineage: Bacteria; Pseudomonadati; Acidobacteriota
Description: uncultured Acidobacteria bacterium partial 16S ribosomal RNA
Source: RNAcentral